This 485-nucleotide ribosomal RNA is filed under the name uncultured bacterium. RNAcentral's name for it is "bacterial SSU rRNA". It matches the Rfam family "Bacterial small subunit ribosomal RNA", at positions 28 to 520 of the family's 1533-position model. The record is from RNAcentral.
GAUGAACGCUGGCGGCGUGCCUAAUACAUGCAAGUCGAACGAGGUGCCUUUGUAGCAAUACGAAGGUAUCCUAGUGGCGAACGGGUGAGUAACGCGUUGGUGACCUACCCCAAAGUGUGGGAUAACAGAUCGAAAGAUCUGCUAAUACCGCAUGUGGUCUUCGGAUUUAGAAACUGAUGACUAAAGGAGCAAUUCGCUUUGGGAGGGACCUGCGUCCCAUCAGCUAGUUGGUGAGGUAAUGGCUCACCAAGGCUACGACGGGUAGGGACCUGAGAGGGUGGCCCCCCACAAUGGAACUGAAACACGGUCCAUACACCUACGGGUGGCAGCAGUAGGGAAUAUUGCGCAAUGGGCGAAAGCCUGACGCAGCGACGCCGCGUGAGGGACGAAGGUCUUCGGAUUGUAAACCUCUUUCAGCAGGGACGAAGCGAAAGUGACUGUACCUGCAGAAGAAGCACCGGCUAACUACGUGCCAGCAACCGCGG